AGUGAACGCUGGCGGCAGGCCUAACACAUGCAAGUCGAACGGCAGCACAAGAGAGCUUGCUCUCUGGGUGGCGAGUGGCGGACGGGUGAGGAAUGCAUCGGAAUCUGCCCAUUUGUGGGGGAUAACCUCGGGAAACCGGGACUAAUACCGCAUACGACCUACGGGUGAAAGCAGGGGAUCUUCGGACCUUGCGCAGAUGGAUGAGCCGAUGCCGGAUUAGCUAGUUGGAGGGGUAAAGGCCCACCAAGGCGACGAUCCGUAGCUGGUCUGAGAGGAUGAUCAGCGACAUGAGGACUGAGACACGGCCAAGGCGCCUGAGGGAGGGAGCAGUGGGGAACAUGGGACAGUAGGCGCAAGCAUGAUCCAGCCAUGCCGCGUGUGUGACGAAGGCCUUCGGUUUGGAAAGCACUUUUGUUGGGAAAGAAAAGCAGCCGGUUAAUACCCAGUUGUCAUGACGGUACCCAAAGAAUAAGCACCGGCUAACUUCGUG
This 490-nucleotide ribosomal RNA is filed under the name uncultured bacterium. RNAcentral describes it as "partial 16S ribosomal RNA". It matches the Rfam family "Bacterial small subunit ribosomal RNA", at positions 29 to 507 of the family's 1533-position model. The record is from RNAcentral.